Carassius carassius (crucian carp) is the source of this 1150-nucleotide long non-coding RNA. RefSeq lists it as uncharacterized. The record is from RefSeq and is a predicted model, not a curated record. The transcript is spliced from 3 exons. Lineage: Eukaryota; Metazoa; Chordata; Actinopteri; Cypriniformes; Cyprinidae.
GUGCUUAGCAAAUGAGGGAUUGCUUGAUAGAACAUCUUAAAAACAAAUAAAAAGCCCCGUCGCAAUAACAACCAUAACUAUAUUGGAGUCCACACUGAUAAUGUUUAUAGUUAUGAUGUGGGCGUUCCUGAUAUAUUCUAAUAAGAACGAAUAUUAAAACCUUUUAUUUAUGGUUAUCUUCCUAGGUGUGAAGGGGCCUUUAGUUCUGGUCGCGCAAUUUGCAUAAGCGGCAAUCCAUGCUGUACGUUCAUGUGUUCUUUCUGCAGGUCUACAUCAAUUAUACCAGUAGGUGGCGACAAGUCUUUCUGUCUUUAUGAGUGACUCAUUGAAUCAGUCACUCAACCGAUUCGCUCAAAGACAUUGAUUCAUUCAUGAACAAAACAAGUGACUGGCUGUAAAACUCGGAAUAACAUACUACUCUUAGAAUUUCAUGUCAUUUGUAAAAAUACGGCAGAAAAAAGUAGGAGUACGAUAGUAGAAUGCUAGUCGGAAUUCGGCCAAUGAUACAUUGAAUCAUUCACUGAACCGAUUCUUUCAAACACAUUGAUCCAAUCAUGAACGUCACUUACGUGUUUUAAAUUUGCACACAGCUGAUCUUGCUUCGCCUGGAAUCUUUAUUGGCUGAGAAACAGGCGAAAUAUUUGGUUUAAGUGUGGCUUAUUGUUUAUUCAACUGCUGUAUAAAAUCAAUUUCACAAUAGCACGCUAUUUGUGGUUUUUCUAACAGCAGGCCAGUGGUUAUCAGCAGCCUUUAUCUUGAUGCUCGGAAAACAGCACGAUUUCGAGUCUGAUACUGCUUGAAUUAAGAGACCACUGAAAAACAGAGAAAGUGCUUACCGGCAGUGGCCUGGCGGAGAUUUGUUUGGUGGGAAUCGGUUUUCACAGCUGCACGCGGUUUCUGCUGUGACUUCUGUUCUUCUGUGUUUCCGAAAUAAGGUCACUGCAAUAUCCAACUGUAUCAGGCGUCAGAUCACAUGAGCUUCAUUGUCUUCACUGCCAUCGGUACGAGUCAUUGCUUCGUUAUGCAUUUGCAGUUGAACCCAACUCAGUUCUCCCAAAUGGCUCAUUUGUUGUGGACUUGUGGUUCUUGCUUGUUGGGUAUGCAAAUUGCCAUUGUAUGAUUCAGAAUCUCUCAAGUGGCCUUGCUAAGA